CCUCCUUUCUUCCUCCUUUUUGUCUCUUGCCCCAUGGGGGCACCCCUGCUGCAGCGAUGCCGCGUGAAUGAAGACGGCCUUCGGGUUGUAAAGUUCUGUCGCAGGGGACGAAAAUGACGGUACCCUGCAAGAAAGCUCCGGCUAACUACGUGCCAGCAGCCGCGGUAAUACGUAGGGAGCAAGCGUUGUCCGGAAUUACUGGGUGUAAAGGGAGCGUAGGCGGGAGGAUAAGUUGAAUGUGAAAUCUAUGGGCUCAACCCAUAGCUGCGUUCAAAACUGUUCUUCUUGAGUGAAGUAGAGGCAGGCGGAAUUCCUAGUGUAGCGGUGAAAUGCGUAGAUAUUAGGAGGAACACCAGUGGCGAAGGCGGCCUGCUGGGCUUUUACUGACGCUGAGGCUCGAAAGCGUGGGUAGCAAACAGGAUUAGAUACCCGGGUAGUC
Molecule: ribosomal RNA, 439 nt
Filed under: uncultured bacterium
Lineage: Bacteria
Description: partial 16S ribosomal RNA
Rfam family: Bacterial small subunit ribosomal RNA
Source: RNAcentral